This 197-nucleotide ribosomal RNA is filed under the name uncultured bacterium. RNAcentral's name for it is "partial 16S ribosomal RNA". It matches the Rfam family "Bacterial small subunit ribosomal RNA", at positions 1306 to 1500 of the family's 1533-position model. The record is from RNAcentral.
UGAAAUUACGCCUUCCAUGAAGCCGGAAUUGCUAGUAAUAGGCAGGUCAGCAUACUGCCGUGAAUACGUUCCCGGGCCUUGUACACACCGCCCGUCACACCAUGAGAGUUGGGAAUACCCGAAGCCUGUGAGCUAACUUUUAGAGGCAGCAGUCGAAGGUAGAAUCAAUGAUUGGGGUGAAGUCGUAACAAGGUACC